This 121-nucleotide ribosomal RNA is filed under the name Acinetobacter haemolyticus. RNAcentral's name for it is "partial 23S ribosomal RNA". The stretch from base 1 to 103 matches the Rfam family "Bacterial large subunit ribosomal RNA", at positions 2823 to 2925 of the family's 2925-position model. The record is from RNAcentral. Lineage: Bacteria; Pseudomonadati; Pseudomonadota; Gammaproteobacteria; Moraxellales; Moraxellaceae.
UCCUCUAAAGAGCCGUUCGAGACUAGGACGUUGAUAGGUUGGGUGUGGAAGCACGGUGACGUGUGAAGCUGACCAAUACUAAUUGCUCGUGAGGCUUGACUAUACAACACCCAAACAGUUG